UACGAAGGGGGCUAGCGUUGCUCGGAAUUACUGGGCGUAAAGCGCACGUAGGCGGGUUCUUAAGUCGGUGGUGAAAUCCUGGAGCUCAACUCCAGAACUGCCUUCGAAACUGGGAAUCUUGAGUCCGGGAGAGGUGGGUGGAACUGCGAGUGUAGAGGUGAAAUUCGUAGAUAUUCGCAAGAACACCAGUGGCGAAGGCGGCUCACUGGCCCGGUACUGACGCUGAGGUGCGAAAGCGUGGGGAGCAAACAGG
This 253-nucleotide ribosomal RNA is filed under the name uncultured bacterium. Its description in RNAcentral is "partial 16S ribosomal RNA". It matches the Rfam family "Bacterial small subunit ribosomal RNA", at positions 524 to 776 of the family's 1533-position model. The record is from RNAcentral.